CCUACGGGAGGCAGCAGUGGGGAAUAUUGGGCAAUGGGCGCAAGCCUGACCCAGCAACGCCGCGUGAAGGAAGAAGGCCCUCGGGUUGUAAACUUCUUUUAUUCGGGACGAAACAAAUGACGGUACCGAAUUAAUAAGCCACGGCUAACUACGUGCCAGCAGCCGCGGUAAUACGUAGGUGGCAAGCGUUAUCCGGAUUUACUGGGUGUAAAGGGCGGGUAGGCGGGAGGGCAAGUCAGACGUGAAAUUCCAGGGCUCAACCCUGGAACUGCGUUUGAAACUGUUCUUCUUGAGUGAUGGAGAGGCAGGCGGAAUUCCGUGGGUAGCGGUGAAAGGCGUAGAUAUACGGAGGAACACCAGUGGCGAAGGCGGCCUGCUGGACAUUAACUGACGCUGAGGCGCGAAAGCGUGGGGAGCAAACAGGAUUAGAUACCCGAGUAGUC
This 443-nucleotide ribosomal RNA is filed under the name uncultured bacterium. Its description in RNAcentral is "partial 16S ribosomal RNA". It matches the Rfam family "Bacterial small subunit ribosomal RNA", at positions 338 to 795 of the family's 1533-position model. The record is from RNAcentral.